Molecule: ribosomal RNA, 253 nt
Filed under: uncultured bacterium
Lineage: Bacteria
Description: partial 16S ribosomal RNA
Rfam family: Bacterial small subunit ribosomal RNA
Source: RNAcentral
UACAGAGGGUGCGAGCGUUAAUCGGAAUUACUGGGCGUAAAGCGCGCGUAGGCGGCUUUGCAAGUCGGGUGUGAAAUCCCCAGGCUUAACCUGGGAACUGCAUUCGAGACUGCAUUGCUAGAGUAUGGGAGAGGGAAGUGGAAUUUCCGGUGUAGCGGUGAAAUGCGUAGAUAUCGGGAAGAACACCCAUGGCGAAGGCAGCUCUCUGGGACGGUACUGACGCUGAGACGCGAAAGCGUGGGGAGCAAACAGG